UCGAUCUCAAAUCAAGUAAGACUACCCGCUGA
This 32-nucleotide ribosomal RNA is filed under the name Entomortierella parvispora. RNAcentral's name for it is "Mortierella parvispora partial 28S ribosomal RNA". Lineage: Eukaryota; Fungi; Mortierellomycota; Mortierellomycetes; Mortierellales; Mortierellaceae. The record is from RNAcentral.